UACGUAGGGGGCGAGCGUUGUCCGGAAUCAUUGGGCGUAAAGAGCGUGUAGGCGGCUUGGCAAGUCUGACGUGAAAGCCCGCGGCUCAACCGCGGAUUGUCGUUGGAAACUGCCUCGCUAGAGUCCGGAAGAGGAGAGCGGAAUUCCUGGUGUAGCGGUGAAAUGCGUAGAUAUCGAGGAGGAACACCGGUGGCGAAGGCGGGUCCC
This 207-nucleotide ribosomal RNA is filed under the name uncultured bacterium. Its description in RNAcentral is "partial 16S ribosomal RNA". It matches the Rfam family "Bacterial small subunit ribosomal RNA", at positions 524 to 729 of the family's 1533-position model. The record is from RNAcentral.